This is a long non-coding RNA of Notolabrus celidotus (New Zealand spotty), 616 nucleotides long. RefSeq lists it as uncharacterized. Lineage: Eukaryota; Metazoa; Chordata; Actinopteri; Labriformes; Labridae. The record is from RefSeq and is a predicted model, not a curated record. The transcript is spliced from 2 exons.
UGCUCACCUGCUCCGCUCCUCGUCACAGCCAAAAACAGCCAACAAAGCGUGGCCAGCAUCUGAUGUCGACCUUUCCCAAGCAUACUACACACUAUUAUCCUUGUGUUGGCGUUUACCGUAUGGAUGGUCCUUUCAGCGAAGACAUUCUCUAAAUACUCAGCAUGUAUCUUCAUCAUGGCCCCCAGUUGUGAGAGGUCAAAUACCAGCCAGGAAAGGUCCCAGGGAUCCUCUACCUGCCCCAUGACUGCCUCUCUAAUUGCUCCUUUUUCUCUCAUUUACAAAGCUUGAUGGGGGCCAGGGGUUAGAGAGAUGGGGUCAGGUGAACAGGGACUCCUACUUCCAGUCAUUUUAAUCUCCAAUGUUUGUCCAGGCUGCUCAUACAUGCGUGUGUGGAGCACAUGGUAUCACUCCACACUUCUCUAUCUCUCUCUGUCUUUGUGUUCUGACUAUUAUUUCACAUGUUACUCCAGGGAUAAGGAGGAUUAAGGAGCUUCCUAAUAUGACUUUGGAGGCUCCAUAGGCCAACAUGAUCCGGCACUGAUUCAUGUCUCGAAGUACUUCAUCUAUUCAGUGUAUGUUGAUUUGGAGCAAUAAAGUUAAAGCCAUCUAGCCUAAA